Molecule: ribosomal RNA, 434 nt
Filed under: uncultured bacterium
Lineage: Bacteria
Description: partial 16S ribosomal RNA
Rfam family: Bacterial small subunit ribosomal RNA
Source: RNAcentral
UAGGGAAUCUUCGGCAAUGGACGAAAGUCUGACCGAGCAACGCCGCGUGAGUGAAGAAGGUUUUCGGAUCGUAAAACUCUGUUGGUAGAGAAGAACGUUGGUGAGAGUGGAAAGCUCAUCAAGUGACGGUAACUACCCAGAAAGGGACGGCUAACUACGUGCCAGCAGCCGCGGUAAUACGUAGGUCCCGAGCGUUGUCCGGAUUUAUUGGGCGUAAAGCGAGCGCAGGUGGUUUAUUAAGUCUGGUGUAAAAGGCAGUGGCUCAACCAUUGUAUGCAUUGGAAACUGGUAGACUUGAGUGCAGGAGAGGAGAGUGGAAUUCCAUGUGUAGCGGUGAAAUGCGUAGAUAUAUGGAGGAACACCGGUGGCGAAAGCGGCUCUCUGGCCUGUAACUGACACUGAGGCUCGAAAGCGUGGGGGAGCAAAACAGGAUU